GACGAACGCUGGCGGCGUGCUUAACACAUGCAAGUCGAACGGAAAGGCCCUGCUUUUGUGGGGUGCUCGAGUGGCGAACGGGUGAGUAACACGUGAGUAACCUGCCCUUGACUUUGGGAUAACUUCAGGAAACUGGGGCUAAUACCGGAUAGGAGCUCCUGCUGCAUGGUGGGGGUUGGAAAGUUUCGGCGGUUGGGGAUGGACUCGCGGCUUAUCAGCUUGUUGGUGGGGUAGUGGCUUACCAAGGCUUUGACGGGUAGCCGGCCUGAGAGGGUGACCGGCCACAUUGGGACUGAGAUACGGCCCAGACUCCUACGGGAGGCAGCAGUGGGGAAUAUUGCACAAUGGGCGGAAGCCUGAUGCAGCAACGCCGCGUGCGGGAUGACGGCCUUCGGGUUGUAAACCGUUUUCGCCUGUGACAAAGCGUGAGUGACGGUAAUGGGUAAAGAAGCACCGGCUAACUACGUG
RNAcentral lists this ribosomal RNA (468 nucleotides) under uncultured bacterium. Its description in RNAcentral is "partial 16S ribosomal RNA". It matches the Rfam family "Bacterial small subunit ribosomal RNA", at positions 28 to 507 of the family's 1533-position model. The record is from RNAcentral.